This 256-nucleotide ribosomal RNA is filed under the name uncultured bacterium. RNAcentral's name for it is "partial 16S ribosomal RNA". It matches the Rfam family "Bacterial small subunit ribosomal RNA", at positions 795 to 1052 of the family's 1533-position model. The record is from RNAcentral.
CCACGCCGUAAACGAUGAGUGCUAGGUGUCGGGGGUCAAACCUCGGUGCCGACGUUAACACAUUAAGCACUCCGCCUGGGGAGUACGUGCGCAAGCAUGAAACUCAAAGGAAUUGACGGGGACCCGCACAAGCAGCGGAGCAUGUGGUUUAAUUCGAAGCAACGCGAAAAACCUUACCAGGGCUUGACAUCUAGUGGACGAAUGUAGAGAUACAUUGUUUUCUUCGGAAACUGCUAGACAGGUGGUGCAUGGUUGU